UACGUAGGGGGCAAGCGUUAUCCGGAUUUACUGGGUGUAAAGGGAGCGUAGACGGCAGUGCAAGUCUGGAGUGAAAGGCGGGGGCUCAACCCCCGGACUGCUCUGGAAACUGUACGGCUGGAGUGCAGGAGAGGUAAGUGGAAUUCCUAGUGUAGCGGUGAAAUGCGUAGAUAUUAGGAGGAACACCAGUGGCGAAGGCGGCUUACUGGACUGUAACUGACGUUGAGGCUCGAAAGCGUGGGGAGCAAAUAGG
This 253-nucleotide ribosomal RNA is filed under the name uncultured bacterium. Its description in RNAcentral is "partial 16S ribosomal RNA". It matches the Rfam family "Bacterial small subunit ribosomal RNA", at positions 524 to 776 of the family's 1533-position model. The record is from RNAcentral.